GAUGAACGCUGGCGGCGUGCCUAAUACAUGCAAGUCGAGCGAACGGACGAGAAGCUUGCUUUUCUGAUGUUAGCGGCGGACGGGUGAGUAACACGUGGAUAACCUACCUAUAAGACUGGGAUAACUUCGGGAAACCGGAGCUAAUACCGGAUAAUAUUUUGAACCGCAUGGUUCAAAAGUGAAAGACGGUCUUGCUGUCACUUAUAGAUGGAUCCGCGCUGCAUUAGCUAGUUGGUAAGGUAACGGCUUACCAAGGCAACGAUGCAUAGCCGACCUGAGAGGGUGAUCGGCCACACUGGAACUGAGACACGGUCCAGACUCCUACGGGAGGCAGCAGUAGGGAAUCUUCCGCAAGGGGCGAAAGCCUGACGGAGCAACGCCGCGUGAGUGAUGAAGGUCUUCGGAUCGUAAAACUCUGUUAUUAGGGAAGAACAUAUGUGUAAGUAACUGUGCACAUCUUGACGGUACCUAAUCAGAAAGCCACGGCUAACUACGUG
RNAcentral lists this ribosomal RNA (497 nucleotides) under uncultured bacterium. Its description in RNAcentral is "partial 16S ribosomal RNA". It matches the Rfam family "Bacterial small subunit ribosomal RNA", at positions 28 to 507 of the family's 1533-position model. The record is from RNAcentral.